GAUCAUGGCUCAGGACGAACGCUGGCGGCGUGCUUAACACAUGCAAGUCGAACGAAGAGCGAUGGAAGCUUGCUUCUAUCAAUCUUAGUGGCGAACGGGUGAGUAACGCGUAAUCAACCUGCCCUUCAGAGGGGGGACAACAGUUGGAAACGACUGCUAAUACCGCAUACGAUCCAAUCUCGGCAUCGAGACUGGAUGAAAGGUGGCCUCUAUUUAUAAGCUAUC
Molecule: ribosomal RNA, 225 nt
Filed under: uncultured bacterium
Lineage: Bacteria
Description: partial 16S ribosomal RNA
Rfam family: Bacterial small subunit ribosomal RNA
Source: RNAcentral